Molecule: unclassified non-coding RNA, 330 nt
Filed under: Hevea brasiliensis (rubber tree)
Lineage: Eukaryota; Viridiplantae; Streptophyta; Magnoliopsida; Malpighiales; Euphorbiaceae
Source: RNAcentral
CAUUUGCUUAUCUGACACAGUCUUCAUCUAUUGGGUCAUGGAUUUUUGACUAUGGUGUCUCCAAUCACAUCUCUGGUAAUAAAAGUUGUUUCUCUAUUCUUAAUUCUCCAUCAACCUUUUGCAAUGUUACCCUAGUUGUUGGAUCAAAAAUUGUGGUUAAAGGAAUGGGUGGGCCACACCCUUUUCCAUCUUUACCUUUAACUUUAGUUUUGUUUGCGCUUGAGUGUUCAUAUAAUUUGAUAUCUAGUAGUAAAUUAACCAAACACUUAAAUUGUUAUGUAACUUUUUUGGCUGAUUUUGUUCUUGGUAGGUUGGGGUUCAGGGAAGAUG